GCGGGUGUCGCCCAUUGGUUGGGCACCGGGACGCCUUCCCGGAGAAGCGGGUUCGAUUCCCGCCUCCCGCU
Molecule: transfer RNA, 71 nt
Filed under: Myxococcales bacterium
Lineage: Bacteria; Pseudomonadati; Myxococcota; Myxococcia; Myxococcales
Also listed under: 1 other name
Description: tRNA-Gly
Rfam family: tRNA
About the family: Transfer RNA (tRNA) molecules are approximately 80 nucleotides in length. Their secondary structure includes four short double-helical elements and three loops (D, anti-codon, and T loops).
Source: RNAcentral